RNAcentral lists this ribosomal RNA (254 nucleotides) under uncultured bacterium. RNAcentral describes it as "partial 16S ribosomal RNA". It matches the Rfam family "Bacterial small subunit ribosomal RNA", at positions 524 to 776 of the family's 1533-position model. The record is from RNAcentral.
UACGUAGGGGGCAAGCGUUGUCCGGAUUUAUUGGGCGUAAAAGGCUUGUAGGUGGCCACGCCAAGUCGGAUGUGAAAUCUCCCGGCUCAACUGGGAGGGGUCAUUCGAUACUGGCGGGCUCGAGGCCGGUAGGGGGAAGUGGAAUUCCCGGUGUAGUGGUGGAAUGCGCAGAUAUCAGGAAGAACACCAACGGCGAAGGCAGUUCGCUGGGACGGUACUGACGCUGAGACGCGAAAGCGUGGGGAGCGAACAGG